Molecule: ribosomal RNA, 462 nt
Filed under: uncultured bacterium
Lineage: Bacteria
Description: bacterial SSU rRNA
Rfam family: Bacterial small subunit ribosomal RNA
Source: RNAcentral
GACGCUGGCGGCGCGCCUAACACAUGCAAGUCGAACGAGCGAGAGAGAGUUUACUUUUUCGAGCGAGUGGCGAACGGGUGAGUAACGCGUGAGGAACCUGCCUCAAAGAGGGGGACAACAGUUGGAAACGACUGCUAAUACCGCAUAAGCCCACAGCUCGGCAUCGAGCAGAGGGAAAAGGAGCAAUCCGCUUUGAGAUGGCCUCGCGUCCGAUUAGCUAGUUGGUGAGGUAAUGGCCCACCAAGGCGACGAUCGGUAGCCGGACUGAGAGAUUGAACGGCCACAUUGGGACUGAGACACGGCCCAGACUCCUACGGGAGGCAGCAGUGGGGAAUAUUGCACAAUGGGGGAAACCCUGAUGCAGCGACGCCGCGUGGAGGAAGAAGGUCUUCGGAUUGUAAACUCCUGUUGUUGAGGAAGAUGAUGACGGUACUCAACAAGGAAGUGACGGCUAACUACGUG